Molecule: long non-coding RNA, 13285 nt
Filed under: Xyrichtys novacula (pearly razorfish)
Lineage: Eukaryota; Metazoa; Chordata; Actinopteri; Labriformes; Labridae
Source: RNAcentral
UUUAUGUCUCAUAAACCCAAUAGAUUGCACUAUGACGGUGUAUUACUCCCUGAAACCAGAAAACUUUUAUUGAUAAAAAAACAAACAGCCUGGUUUACGGUGCAAAGUCGAGCCCUGAAACAAAAAACCAAAGCGUUUAUAUCCUGGCAUGAGCUGUGGACAGCACUUGGAACGGCGCAGGAAUACAUGGCUGGGUUUGUUGGCCUUACCGACAGCAUAAAUAUACCAACACUACAUUCCACAGUGAAAUUGAACUCCUGCCACCACAACUGACAUAUUCACACCCCAUUCACCCCCACAUUGACUCCACGUUCCCAGAGCAUACCCCAUCAUUCCCCCAUGCUCUUAUGGUGAGGACCACCAACUGAAACGCUCAUCUCCUGUUACAGCUCCUGACAGUAAUGCAAACGCAGAAGGCAAAUUUCACAGAAGCAGACGAAGUGAUAUUUUCUCAAUAUGAACUCUGUGUGCUUAUAGAGGACAAAGACAAACAUACUUUCAUGCUGGUACUUUUCCAGCACACAAAGAGUCCGGGGGUAAAUUUUGGCUUUGAUUAACAGGUCCCUAAUGUUUGACCUAGUGCAGUGUCGCAGGCAGAGGAAUGCAGCAUUCACAGGGAUCCUGUUUAAAAUAACCACAGAGACAAGAGGAAACAAGUGGACGGACACAGUCUCACAUUUUAAUGGUUUUUUUUGUGUCUGCAGAGAUGCACAGUUGCAUUUUUUUUUUUCUUAGCAGCUCUGUGGAAAAUGAAAUCUCUCUUCGCAAAAUGACAGAGUCUAUUGAGCAGAGGUUGCCGGCAAUCCCCGGCUUUCACGCCACUCUUUGAAAAUAGAAGACACAUCUGCUUGUCUUUUCUCUGAAUUCGGUUUUAAUGGAAAAGAGGUGCAACAGUUAUCCCUUUUGGGUUCACUGAACUGUAUCUCCAGCUCAGACUGUAUGUUCAAAUAGUUUGCUUGUGCUCAAAAAAAAAAGAGAGGAUGUAAGGAGAACAAGCAAUUACUGUAAGCCCGUGUGACACUACACACAAGACACUGUAUAAAUAGUUAACAUCACACACGAGCAAGGAAACAAGGUUGUAUCAAUGGGAGUUUUUUUUCUACUCCAUCCAGAAGCACAGUUAAUACUUGUGCAUUAUGUUUACACGGCGUACUUUGGAGGCCAAGCCAUUCCUGUUGUUAGCUGGAGAUAAUGAGAACGACUGCAAAAGCACUAAACAGCUAAAAGCACAUCUGCCAGGAUACUCCAAAAACCUGGCAACAGCACAUACAUCUGGUCAUAAAAGAGAAACACAGAAAUGGAAAUGUACAGUUAUAAAAAGAUACAGAGCUACCGGGGGGGAUGCAAAACAAUGCAACUCCAAGAAGAAGCAGUGAUUUCAUCACAAGGGCGAACAUAUGCAAUGAGAAAUUAAUCAGACAUUACACCAAGAGAAACCCUGUAAACAUGCAAAUACAAAAUCCCUUUACAGUUUCGAGUUUCAGACACCAACCUCUGACAAAGCUGCAUACUGCAUCUACCAUGAUGCAUUUCUCAUGAUUUUUAGAUUGCACUAUAGGCAAUUCAAAGCAAUCGAUUCAAGUAUGACAGGCAUGUCUGAGAAAAUCUGGUAAUACACACUGCAGUGACUAACAAAUUAAAGAGUUGUUAGUGGUUAGAAAGUCAAAUUAGGCUCAGUGUGCAAAGUGAAAAAUAAAUCAAUGCGCAGUAUUCCAGUUUUCUGUUUAUGAUGUCCUUUUUUGCCUUGAUUUAGUAGGAUGUGGGUAAAGACAGGCGUUGAAUGAAGGACUACAGCAACAAUAACUGUGGACUCUGACAUGGGGCACACCCCUGCAGAUUUGAUGAACUGAUUCCUCUUCUGCACACCAGUCAGGAAGCAAAGAUGUGUGACGUAUUUAUCUGCAAGUCCCAAAGAAAGCAACUAUAACAGCCUGUUGCAACACCCACAUGGUCUGUAGGGGGAGCAUGCCACCCCAGGACAACCCUCUAGUUUUUCAGGUCGGGUGUUUUUUACGUGCUUCUAACUCAGUAUGUCCACACAACACAACCUCAAAACUUCCAGACAAAACCCAGGACAUUUGAAGAAUUUUAUAAACUCCCUGGACAAGGCCGGACAGCCCCCCAAAUAGAGGACAUGUCUGGGUAAAAGAGGACGUAUGGUCGCCCUACUCUAGACACACCCUCUGGAUGUCUUCCAAAAACUCAAGAUAGGUGCAAAUAAAUGCAUAAAAAAAACUGAGUUUUAUUUCCAGCUUUCGAAUUGAAAGUUAUAGCCCUGCUGAGGGUGAAAGGGGAACAUCUUUGUGAAUGCAACUGACUCCUCCGAGUCACUCUGAGAUUUGUCCAGACAAACUGAAAGGAUUGAGAAGGAUUUGACAGGGAAGGACAAUAUGAAUGCUAAUGGAUGUCUGACGCUUUACUGCACAAUCGCUGGAGGUUAAAAGGAGCAGACAAGUUUAGAGAUCCCCCAAAAGGACAUCUCAACCUUUUCCACCAACUGAUGGCUUAUAUAAACUUAUUUUACUAUUUCCCAUUUGCUUAAUUAGAAGCAGCAACGAAUCAAAGCAAUCCCACUUUUGAGGGUUCUGGUUUUGUCUUUUUGGCAGCUUGCAUCAUGCAAAAUACGUAUGCAGCCGAGUGAGUGUUGUGGAGAAAUAUGUUGCAAUCUUUCUCUUACAAAUAGCCAAUUUAUCCACAUUGUACCCCUCAGAGCUGACUCAAACGGUUUGAAUUCUACCCAGAACAAGCAAAGUGUCGUGCUAAUUGGACCAAGCUGCCCAGACCCAAAAGGUAAAACUCAGUUAACCUCUGUGUCCAUCAAAACUGAUGAAAGUCUGGCAAUGAUUGACGCCUCAUCAUCCCAAAGGCCUUAUACCACCAACCGGUGCGUCUCCAUUGCUUCUAUUACAGCUCGAAUUCUCCCCCUCACAGCAGCUGCAGUCCAAAGUGUGAAGGUGAAUUGUCAGACUUUUUCCAAACUGUCUAGACUUUCCAUCCUUCCAGAGCAGCAUGGGUUCCCUGAUAGUGGGAAUCUAUUUUGCAAAAUGCUCUGAACCUCUAAUGAAGAAAUGAAGCAUGGAGGAACCAUGACGGACCGCGGCCAGGGGGAACCAUGCCGAGGGAAAGAGGGCCACUGAGAGGGGGGCAUGGAUAGAGCGGAAGGAGAAUGACAAGAAGGUGAGAAAGACAAGGACAGAAAGUAAAAGAAAGAAAAAUAAAGGAGGGAAGAACUGAUUGAAGGUGAAAUAAGGAAAACUAAAGAGAGGCCUGAAUUCUCACAUUUUGAACAGCACUGUACUCGACAAUGAACCGUCUUGAAUACCUUCGCAGAGUGUUUUUAUUUUAAUUUGCAGUGGAAAAUGUCUUUUAAAUGACAUAUUUAUAGGGUUUGAAAAGAAAAAAUAUUUGUCCAGCUGGAAGAGUGCUCAAAUACCACCGUUGGUUGUGAGUAGGCUCUUGAGUGCUGCUCAUUUUUUCAGACAAUGAGACCUUUAAAAAUCCUAGAAAAAGGCCUUUUUAUUAUCUUGUUACAUAUUAGACCUCUUACUGAUUUUUAUUUUUACUCUGUCCCUGAAAUAAACAUUCAGAGAUUUUAAUAACGCUGGUGCAUGUCCCAAAUGGGCUUGUCAAAUCCUGAGUCAUCAGACAUGCAACUAUUUCCUGGUUACCUGUCUGACCAUGAUUGAUUGGCUGCAGUCACAAUAGCACCUUGUCGACUAGCACAGGCUAGCACCCAGAGAAGCCAAAAAAGAAACAAAACAAAGUUCCUUAAAAAGACAUUUGUGUGCAGCAGUUCCUCUCUCAGCUUAUUAUCCUCUCUCCUCCGUUAAAAUACCUCGAUGGACUUCUGCAGCAUACAAGCUAACCUCAGCCACCUCACAGUCUCCCUGCAGCAUUCACAUCCAUUAUAUAAACUCCCAAAAUAAAUGACUGAUGGGGGGGCAGUAUUUUAGCUCCCAGUUUUGUUCUUUUUUGACAACACUAUUAAAACUAGCAACAUAAUCAGCAAAGGAACAAAUGUAGAGACAACUUUGCUCUCUGCCUGCUGGACAAUACCAGAUAAAUCCGGUCUAAAGAACUGAAAAAGAAAAUCUAUCCAUAAAUGGUCCAUGUAUCUGAUGUUUUUCUCCUCCCCAGUGUUGGAAAAAUCCAUAAAUGCAGCUGAAGAACACACAGUAUGUGGAAAAUUUACAUUGUGUUCGCUUGGCGUGCUUCAUUGUUUGCAGUGUUUUCAGUCCCUUUGGCUCAGUAUCACCUUUAGCCCCCCUUUGGCACUAAUCUGCCAGGCUGACUCAUUGUCUCAGGUGAAGCCAAGCAGAAGACAUGGCCGCCCCAACCCCUCUGGGCCCCGCCUCCCUACACACACACUAACACACAUCCAUGAACAACAACCCCCCAUCUCGACACCGCAACCUCCCCACCCCAGGGAUUCCCGUUAUUCCACCCUGUCUGCAGAGAGGCUACUGGGAUCACAUUGCACAUCAGUCUGGUGCCUUUCCUCCUGAUACCGUCAGGAGUCACGUGGGAGGGGGCCACACCCCAACACGCACCAGCUCUCUUUUCAGCGCGAACCCGGCUUCGGUCCUCAUUAUUUAUGACAUUUUCCCGGCGAUUAUUAAUUCAUCAGAAUUGCAUUAUAUUCCAGACGUAGUCCAGACACUGUCACAUCUGUGACGUCUCCGGAGCCCAGCAGGUCCUGAAGGAGCCAGCCCCGCCCACUCCAUCAACCCCCUCUGCCGCUGUUUUUCCACAUCUCUAAUUGGGUUUUGUUUAUGGCUUCUGUGAUCAGCGGCGACAGCAUGAUCGGUGCCGUUGCCUCCCAAAGUCUAAUGGGGGGAAACUUGUCUAUUUGUCUGCUGCCUGCUUCCCUUUCACUAAUCACACUGUCAACUACAGCAAACACUGCUCUCAUUCAAGACUAGAAAGCAUCUGUACAUGUAAUAACAGCGUAUGUAUUUUACUGAUACAGUUUCAAAGAGUCCCCCGUCUCUCUUCAGUGGAUAUUUUUCAAUCCUGGAGUGCCGUAUCUCUACUUUUAGUCUGGCAUCUGUUGCUGUUCAGUGAGCUGACCGGUUGGCGGUUAGGGUUACAGUUGUUCACAGAGGGCACACUUAAUGCUCUACUGAUCAAUAUUUUGAGGGAUCAUUUGACUUAAGAGUUAGAAAACCCCAGAGAGAACUAUGACUCAAGUCGUCAGAUCCCCUUACCCUGAACAGAUGUCGAUUUUUUGCCCCCUGUUUUUGGUUUUAAGAGCUGGCAAACACAAAAAAGCUCAAACUAGAAUGGAUAUUGGAUUUUCAUGCAUCAGCUGGAGAAAAAAAAUAACAACCUCUAAUGAUUUGUUUUCUUGUCUUGUGUCUGGCUGAUGCAUAAAUAGGCAAUUGCCUCCCUAACACAGGACCAAAUGAAGUGAUAACAGGCCAAACGGCUUCCUGGAGCCCCAAAGAGCGACAACCUUUCCAGAUAUUUGUCAGCUUUUAUUGUUACCUUUUCAGAUUGAACUCCAAGCACAUUUUUUGACAUUCAAAUGAAUUCACAAGUUCUGACAACAACCUCUGGAGGAGAAAGAAGAUACUCGCACAUUGAAUCUCACUGAACAUUUCUUACUGGUCCAUUGACUCAAGUAUUUAACCAAUUACUCUCAGAAAUCACAAGACCCGCUCGGACUAAAUGAAACCGAGAUAUCGGAGACAUCAGAGGACGGAUUAAAAAGAGAAUCCUGGAAAUCCAUAAAAAUGCUAAGAGUGGGCGAAUCCAGAGGCCUGAUGUUAAUUUGUCUAAGUUUGCUGAUGCAUACCACCAAAUGGAGAAGAGGAGGAUAAUGUGUCAGAAGAGUUAAACGUCACGCAGUAAAAGGAUUGAGUUAAAGACUGACUAAAGACUCUUAUGAUGAGUUUCAAGGAUAUCUAAUUAUAACCAUCUCAUAUCCCACAUAAGUAAGAUGAGCAGAGAUUGUAACGCUGAAGUCACUGAAGUAGUUUGAUUGGAGGUUAGUCUCAGCUUUACAGUCUCAGUGCAAAAACAGAAGUUGGUCUUUUAUAGUCUUAAUAACCUACCAGGAAUCAUAAAUGUGAUUUAAGGAUGUAUCACAGAGUUGCGAUGCUAAUCACCACUGUGGAAGAUUAAUAACGUCACAUGCUUGUAAGGUCGUACUUUCCACACUGCGGCCUCAUCAUGGCUACUUUUACUGCUAAUGCUAAUCAUCAUUACCCUCCCCUCUGAUGAGCAGGAGAGGCGGCCAAUAAAUCAGGAGUGACAUGUGCCAGUUAAGACACCAAGAGGGAUGAGAAACCGUUGAAAUGUUUGUGGUUUAUUUAUCCCCAUGCAUGUGCAGGGCGCCAACAAAGCAAGCUUUUGUUCACAGGAGUAAGAGCGAUGAGGCAUGGCUGAGAAAUAUUCUUCAUUUAUCUUCUCUAAACUGAUGAAGUCUGCAAAGAAACCAUGUUUGAUUUGGUAAUAAAAAUGUCUGCAGCAGUUUCGCAUCUCUCGUUUUAAUUAAUCUGUCUUAAAGAGACACUUUUGCCUCAUAAAAUGAUAAUGAAAUCCGCGUGGAAAUUCACUCUUUUUAUGAUCUUUUAUUAUGAAUCCCUCUCCUUGAAAAAUGGGACUCACCAGCGGUCUGUAUGAGGAAGAAUCACAGCAAACAAACAAACAUCUUCACCUUGGAUUACGAGUCUCUAAACAACUGACGAUACAAUAGCAGGACAGAUAAACACUUCAGCAAAGUCACAUCUGAUGUGGCAUGACUUCUAUGUAGGUUAAUGAAGGCCUUAUUCAGGCUUUGGUUUGAAUUCAUGUUGCAGAGCCAAAGAGGAGGACCAAUGUGAGGAAAAAGCGUCUUAUUUUCUGCCAUCUUUCCUGGACACCAACUGGGAUGCAAGCUACAGCAUCUGAGCACAGCAUCAAAUCCAACACAGAAAGCUCCAAACACAGACAAAGGAGCCCCUCCACCCAUGGCGAGCGAGAGGACAGUGAUUAAUGAGGCCACACCAGUGGAGAGUGGCUCCGUUAUACUCCACCUCCAGUCUUGUAUCUGCUUCGGCAGUAAGAGUGUCAACAAGUAACUAAUGACUGCCAAGAUGUCCGCUGUUAUACAUUUCCUGGAAACAUCAGUGCUUAUCAGUUCAACUGCUGCAUUCACAGGUGCUGCUACAUGGCUGGAGGCGAACGAGAUGUUUAUAUUUUCAACUAAGAGUCUGGCACUCUGCUGCUGUGACGGUUGACGGGUUGGAUUUCUGAUACCAGUUGUCACGAUGAAGAAGAGUUCCUCUCCUAGGGGUCAAUAACUGAAACUCCAAAAGCUAGCCCGUAUCAAGCGGCAACUUCUGUCCCUGACAAUUGAGGCCACCAAAGAAAAGGAACAAAUCUACAGUUAAUGACUUGAGGACAUUAGACGUGCCCCAAAAACCAAAAGAACACUGACAUUUGUGUUAAAAGGUAUAUUUUAUACAGCAAAUCAAACCAAGCUAUGGCAUGGUGCAAUAUCAAUGGUACAAUGGGGAAUAUCUUGUUAUAACUCAAAAACUUUAAUGAUCUUAAGACUAAGUGUUACUAUGAAUUGAUAUGCAUGUGUAAGGAUGCGGUUAACUUGACUGGCGGGCAGCCGUUGACCGGUAGGCCCUCCUUAGCUCCGCCUGUUCCUUAGAGAUCAAGGCGGUCGAGAAUAGUCCUGUUAAAAACACUUAUUCAAAAUUCUGAGUGUCGAGCAUGCACAGAGAUCUAAAUAAAUGACUGAAAACGCCACUGGAUGCACGCCAGAACACCGAAGAACAACAUGAGUUUGAACCAAGAUGCUUAAGUGUUAAAAACUGCAGUCCCUUGAGUGUCCACUUGACCUUGAAAAAGUGACCUUUUCAGAGGAUCUUACUUUUCAACCUUCCAAAACUCCAUUUACAUGUUAACGACGGCCCAAACAAAACUGUAGUUCAGCAUCUUUUAUUGAAUACCUCUCCUUUAGACAGCCUCUAGAAUGGCCAAAAGGUGGUUUUAGAUGGUAACCACCAUCAUCGUACUUGGCCGAUUAACCAACAGGUGAUGUAACCGAGACUAAGUCCAUGAUUUAUGCAGUUUUAGUUUCUGGACUCAAUACAGCUCAAUUCAACAGGUACUAUAAACUCUGAGAUAUGUGCUCAAUAUCAACAAAACAUGAUCCAAGAUCCUAACAUAGUUUGCCGUAUGUGGAAACCUCAGAGAGUAUAUCCUGCAUAGAAACAGGAUGAACAUGACUUUUAAAAGGAGCAGAAAUACAUCAAAAGUCAGAUUAUUGAGAGCUGGCGGCUUUUACAACAUCUUGGUAAAGAUGGAAAAAUCCUGUUCGGUCAUCUGUCUCCAUCUUUGGUUCGUCUCACAACAUUUAUAAUUCAGUUUGAGCAAGAUCAUUAAAACUUCCCUUCACAGGCAUUGGCUUUUAAAGACAACUGACAUCCAAAAGGACAUCAUUUGUUAUUUGGAAAAGUGGUCUAAGUGCUCAAACAUUGAUUGGAUAUCUCGCGAUCCAACAUAAGUUGAUAAAAGCUCAAACUGAAUCACUUCCCAAACCUGUUUGAGGAAAUUGAGGGUUCUGUUAGUGUUUCUUCAUUUUGAGUAAGAGAUAAAAUGAGAGGAGGAAAAAAAAAAACAGUUUGAAUUCAUUUUAUGUAAUAGUUUUUGAAAAUGGAGACAAUUUCCUCGUCAAAUUGUGCUUUUAAACUCAAUGUGCUCAUGGAAGAAAAUGGUGGCACUGCUUUUCUUUGUAGGGGAGCACACGUGUAAACAUCUUUCAUGUCUUCAGAUUGCCAUGACAACUUGUUUGGCCCUGCACUUUUCAGACAUCCCAUGAUGCCAACCAACAAUACUUCUUUUUUCGGCCCCAGCGUGAAAGCAACAUUAAACUGCUGUCCAUUCAGACGUCCUCGUCGACUCUUGGAUGUGGUGAUAUUUUGGCGGUGCCUCCUGUCUGAAAAAUAAAAUAACACUCUCCGAGGACCUUAAGAAGUUCUGUCCCUGUCCCUGUUGGUCCAAGAAUCUCUCCAGCCACUGAUCGAACUGCAAUCUCCCUGUUCAAACACAGCUGCAUCAAUGGGCUUUUAUCAGACCGCGGUCCCCCCCCCCUCUGGAUACAGAGAAUGCACAGCUGCUGCUCUGUUGCCCAGAAACUGAAUGUCAUUUCAGGAAUACCCCCCAUUCCACAAACAGGAUAGUGUUACAGGAAGGCCUGCAAACAUCCCCAGCCUCCAAACUCGAUUUUCCCCCGUUUCAGGCAGAGCGCCACUCCCGUGCAUCCAUUUUCUGAGGCCCAUCUCUCUAAUAAGAGUUCAGAUGUCGCGGAAAUUGUGAAGAUUGGAUAAAAAGAAGCGCAUAAUUGGACCUCUCCUUAAGGAGGACCAUGCAGUUAUUGAGUUUUUGGUAUCAUUUUCCCAUCAGUCAGGACCCUAAACCACUGUCCAAUCAAUGCAUACUGAGUUAUGAGCUUUGUAAUUUCAAAAUCACAUUAUCAGAUGCUGCUCAUUUAGUUUAAGGGUAGUACCAAGAAUCCCCCAAACAGCCGUUUUAGUCAAAAGCACUUCAAAAAUGAAUUAGUCAAGUUCUUUUGCUCUUUUUAUAUUCCUUUUAGACCCUCAGUUUGGGAAGGAAAUUUCUCAAGGGUAAGGCUGUUAUGAGAAAUUUUUACUGUUUUUGAAAUCUUAAGAAUCAUCAAUCAGCAAUUUAUGCACGGUUUUACGAGAGGAAAGCAUAAAAGUCUUGCUAUGGGAAAAGGACCUGGGAAAAAUCAGAAUUCAGUUCUGUCGCUUUACAGGACUUUUUAGGGUUUUCUUUAGCACUUAAUCUCAUCUCUUUAAGACCCCAUGCCUCUAAGUAGUCUCUUUGUACAAUUCAUCCUUGUUUUGCACGGAGUAAAAUCAGACUACAGGAUGGUAAAGAUUAAAUACAAAAGGUGUAACCAAAGGGGGAUUCAAAAAUCUGAUUUUCUCGUCCACUGCAGUGCUAAGUGACUGCCACUCAGAGUCCUUUCUCCAAAUGGUUGCAAAUUUGAAAAAUAAAUGCAGAAGGGUUGCUAGGGCUCUCCCUUAUUAACCUGACAGAUAUUUUAUAUUCUGUACAGUUUGCAGCCUCUCUGCAAGAGGGAGCUGGUAUUUAAGGCUCUCCAGAGGCACUAAAGCCAUCGGGCUAGUCAGAAGAGCUAUAUCCGUGAAUGAACUAAUUAAGCUCCUCAAUGUCCUCAGCAAAAUGGUGUCCUGAGAUUGUUCUCUGCAAUAGCAGUAAUGAGAAAGAGAGAGUCAGGAGGGGGGAAAACAUGAGAGGAAAAGCAGGGAGAGGCGGAGGUGGAGCCUAUAGAUCUCAUCCUCAAAUCCCAGAUCUGCUUGGAAACAGUGCGAUGGCAGAUUUCAGGCUCUCUCUGUUCCUGUCCGGAGCGAGAGGACCUGUUACAUUUCUGAAUGCAAAGUCUGUAUUUUCUCAUCUUUGUUUCCUAGCUUUGGUCGCGGCAAGGCUCAUUAAAGUCCAUAAACAAUGCGAGAUGUGCUCUCUAAUGAGCAAACGCUUCUGUAAAAAGGCCUCUGUCCUUGGGAAGCUGGCCAUGUCAGCUGAAGCUGUAUCCAAACCCAGUCUCAUGCAUCUCGGGGCUAACAACCGGGCCAUUCUCACCAGGCUCAUUUGUGCUCUCCAUCCUUAUCCUCAUUGUUCCCUCAUUUUCUGUACUCUACUUCCCAGGGAAACUGACGUUUGCUUUACUUCCUGACAGGAAGCAUCGAGUCUUUCGAGUGAUAUUUCCCUCUGUGAGAAUGUACAGAGUGCUGGAUGCAGAUUUGAGACAUCCUCCUCAGCUCUGCUUUGCUCCUUUAGGGGGUUGCAUCCGAGGGAAAAGGAGUCUACAAAGUCCCGGGAGGUUUCUGUGGCAAAGGGUGGCGAACUAAGUGAUGUGCUUGGCUGGCUGCGGAGCGCAGUGGAGCUGAAUGAAACAGCACGGUUGAAAACAACAGUGGGCUUUCUCUGUCUGCGGAGCCACAACAGAGUAUGCUUUCUUUGAGAUAGAGGGAAAAAUUUCAGAGGAAGGAACGCUGGAAAAAUGGAGCAUGAUGUGGCAUUUUGAGUUGCUCUUUCCAGCUGACGGGGGUCAGGCACUGAUAAGUGAUCUACCUAUGGCUCACUAGUCACAGUGAUUCUGAAUAAUGAUAUCAGCAACUGUGAGAUAAAUCAUCAUUAUUCCACAGGCACAAAAUAAUGAUGUGAUGGUCCUCAAACAAAAGAGUGACCAGAUUAGCCCUGCAUGCAAUACUGGUCUCUGAUUCAAAGAGGGGAAAAGAUACUUCAAACAGGCGCGAAUGAAAAGAAAGAAAUGAAAAAGCUGGAGACGCAGACAGGAAGCUGGAAGUCCAGCAAGGAGCCCCUGGAGGCUACAAUGUUCAUUAGACCCAUAUCAUGAUGGUAUCAUAAAGUAUCUCAGAGCACUGCUAUUAUGGCUGCGGUCAAAGUAAUCUUGAGGGUGCCGCUGGAGGAUAGGCUGUCGGAUAAUUAAUGUCCAAACUGCGCUGUUUCUACGACUCGUGGAAUUCACUGGCAAUCUUUCUGCUUCAGACUUCUAAAGACGAAGCUCAGCGUGGUCAUGACCUCCUUAAGAUGCACUCUUAGGAUUUCGGACUCUUUCAUGCCAAGUUGGAGCUUUUAACUCGCUCUGCGCAAAAAAAGACAAGUCUUUCACCGAUAACUGGUAAAUCGGUUGUUAAUUCACGUCACUAAUGGCGAGGAGAAAUCCCCACCCUGCCCUUCGAAACAGACUGAAGAAGACAGUUUUAUGACACCGGCUCUUUGUAUAACCGGGGUCAUAACUCAGCACAUGCGUGUUAUUGCAUUGCUUUACAAAAACAGCCAAUGUUGAUGGAUGUCUUCUAAUUUCGCCGAGCUACAUGUUCACCAAAGUCAUUAGAGCUCCAGCAUGGCAACAUCUGCUCACAUCCACUUUGUAUUAGCCUGAUAGAAACGGCACAGAGGCGAGCAAAAGCUAUCCGAAUGUGUUAUUAGUACAACAUUAAGGAUGUGCCUCUUGAUAGCCAUACUCCAAUUACCUCUCACUAUGGAGCCAUUCUAAGUGGUGGACCUCGCAGGAUAUUCUUCUUCUGCUGCUUUGCUGUUUAUUCUUCCUUCGGGGACAUUGGUAAAUUAUACAUUAGGACACGCUUGAAUAUUUUACAGAUUUAAUGAGAAUUUGAUGAAAGAAUGAGGAUGAAAAUGGUCCAGAAAAGAGUCGUAAGAGUGUGUGUUUGUGGUUUCAAACGGCAUCCGUCUCCUUUAAGAGUUUAAACAUUAAGUCUGAUGUGCGACGCUGAUGCAGUGAUCUGUGCCACACUGUAAUUGAAAACAACACUGGGAACGGUCAACUUAGCAGGACUUAAUAUCAAGUUUAAUAGUGACUGUUAAGUAGGAAUGAGCACAUUUAGUCCUCAUCUCCAUCCCACAACAUCACCCUCGCUAAACACCAUCCUCAUUGCUCGUUGGCUCAACUAAUUAAUAUUUAGUGAUUGUGGGCCUGAAAUUGCACUCAUGAGUCGCAGCCACCUCACAGUGACUGGAGCUGUAUUCAAAGAUGUAAAGACACAUAGCAUCUCACAGCAAAGCGCAGUCUUUCAUGAAGAAAGUAAAACCAGCGUAUAACCAUCUAGCCAGCCAAUGUGUAGCUCGCACAGGCAUGUGGAUAUUAACCUGUAAGAAGGGUCUGAGGCUAGUGGUGCUAGCUCUGCUAAUGUUAGCCACAUUAUGCGAAGUUAAUAGCCAACGGUUUAUUUCCAGACUCUGCUAUCCUGUAGGCCAUUUUGAAUAUAUUGUGCGUGAUUUAUUUGCCUGGUUCACCGGGUGUCUAGGAAAAUAAAAAGUGUGCUACUUUGGCUCUGCUGCUGGUGUCCUUCCCUACAAGUCGGUUUUCUAAUGCCCCUUCAAAAAACUCUAUUUGGUAACUGUGCUGUAUGUGUAAUCGCUGAAUCUGAAAAUAAUAAUAUACAACAUUUUAACUUUGUAAAUGCAUUUGCUAAAAUUUACUUUUUAAUAUUCCAAACUCUAACAUAUUACUGACAUAUCAAAUAUUUUUGUUGUUAGGCCCAAAUAUCAGUGAUUGCUCUCAUAAUCUACCAAUCAUCAUUAUUGGUAUCAGCACUCAAAGGCCAAUAUCGGUCAAAACUUAACUUUAUACACUGGCACUGACUGAACCUCAUCCUCGAUUUGCAGAACUAUCCAAUAAGAGGUUGGACGUCUGUUAAGUAUUUCCUCUUCAUGUUUCAUUUCUUGCACUUCCUGUUUUAUUCUGUGAUCACUCGCC